CAGUAGCCGCGGUAAUACGAAGGGGGCUAGCGUUGCUCGGAAUGACUGGGCGUAAAGGGCGCGUAGGCGGCGAUCAAAGUCAGGCGUGAAAUCCCUGGGCUCAACCUGGGGGCUGCGUUUGAUACUUGAUUGCUAGAGUGGGGAAGAGGGUCGUGGAAUUCCCAGUGUAGAGGUGAAAUUCGUAGAUAUUGGGAAGAACACCGGUGGCGAAGGCGGCGACCUGGUCCUUGACUGACGCUGAGGCGCGAAAGCGUGGGGAGCAAACAGGAUUAGAUACCCCUGUAGUCCCUGUCUCUUAUAC
RNAcentral lists this ribosomal RNA (301 nucleotides) under uncultured bacterium. Its description in RNAcentral is "partial 16S ribosomal RNA". It matches the Rfam family "Bacterial small subunit ribosomal RNA", at positions 509 to 807 of the family's 1533-position model. The record is from RNAcentral.